Molecule: ribosomal RNA, 1599 nt
Filed under: Hyperolius viridiflavus (common reed frog)
Lineage: Eukaryota; Metazoa; Chordata; Amphibia; Anura; Hyperoliidae
Also listed under: 1 other name
Description: 16S ribosomal RNA
Rfam family: Bacterial large subunit ribosomal RNA
Source: RNAcentral
GCCUCCAAUUUAGUUCUAAAAUAUUGUUAUACAAACAAUAACACAAACUUUAACUUAACAAAACAUUUAUACAGUCUAGUAGAAGUGAUCAAAAACCUAAUAAAAACUAUAUACAAAGUACCGCAAGGGAAAAAUGAAAUAGUAAUGAAAUAAACCAAAAGCACAAAAAAGCAGAGAAAUACCCUCGUACCUUUUGCAUCAUGGUCUAACAAGUAAAAACAAGCAAAAUGUACCUAAAGUUUGUUACCCCGAAACUAAGUGAGCUACUUUAAAACAACUAUAUAAAUAUCUUAAUUAUAUAGUCAACUCGUCUCUGUUGCAAAAGAGUGAGAAGAUUUUUAAGUAGAAGUGACAAGCCUACCGAACUUAGAGAUAGCUGGUUAUUUGGAAAAAGAAUUUUAGUUCUGCCUUAAAUUAUAAUAUGCAUUAAAUAGAACAUAAUAAACAAUUUAAGAGUUAUUUAAAUAGGGAACAGCCUAUUUAAAACAGAAAACAGCCUAAAGAAUAGGGUAAUUAAUAUUACAAUUAUUUAAGUGGGCCUGAAAGCAGCCAUCUUUUAAAAAGCGUCAAAGCUUAAAUAUAAUAUAAAAAAAUUUUUAACUUAAUUAUAAAACCCAUCAUCAAUACCAAAUAAUUUUAUAUAAAUAUAAAAAUUAUAAUGUUAGAAUAAGUAAUAAGAAAAAGACUUUCUCCAAAAUAUAAGCAUAAUGCAUAAUAAACUAAAACUGCUAAUUAUUGUAUAUAAACUAAAGUAGCAACUUGACUAGAAAACUCUACUUCCCUUAACAUUGACCUAACACAAGAAUAUUACUGGAAAGAUUAAAACAGUAGGAAGGAACUCGGCAAAUAAAAACCCCGCCUGUUUACCAAAAACAUCGCCUCUUGCUAAAAUAUAAGAGGUCCCGCCUGCCCCGUGAUCUAAUUUAACGGCCGCGGUAUCUUGACCGUGCAAAGGUAGCAUAAUCAAUUGUUCUUUAAAUAAGGACUAGUAUGAAUGGCAUUACGAGGGUUUAACUGUCUCCCUAUUUUAAUCAAUGAAAUUGAUCUUCCCGUGAAGAAGCGGGAAUAUAAUUAUAAGACGAAAAGACCCCAUGGAGCUUUAAACUUAUUUUCAAUUACCAAAAUCCAAAACAUAUACCUGGUAAAAAUGAUAAUCGUUUUCGGUUGGGGCGACCCUGGAGAAAAAUAAAUCCUCCAAGCUGAAUAGAUCAAAAAUCUAAUGUUAGAGUGACAACUCAAACAAUCAAAAUCUUGACAAAAUGACCCAGAAUUUAUCUGAUCAACGAACCAAGUUACCCUGGGGAUAACAGCGCAAUCCAUUUCAAGAGCCCUUAUCGACAAAUGGGUUUACGACCUCGAUGUUGGAUCGGGAUAUCCUAGCAGCGCAGCCGUUGCUUAAGGUUCGUUUGUUCAACGAUUAACAAUCCCACGUGAUCUGAGUUCAGACCGGAGUAAUCCAGGUCGGUUUCUAUCUAUAAAAUGUCUAUUCCAGUACGAAAGGACCGAAAAGACAUGGCCUAUGCAUAAACAAGCCAUAUUAUAAUAUUUAUGACAUCAACUUAAUUAAAUAUAUUCUAAACAAUAAUUUUAGAUAAAAAU